GAUGAACGCUGGCGGCGUGCCUAAUACAUACAAGUCGAGCGAACAGACGAGGAGCUUGCUCCUCUGACGUUAGCGGCGGACGGGUGAGUAACACGUGGAUAACCUACCUAUAAGACUGGGAUAACUUCGGGAAACCGGAGCUAAUACCGGAUAAUAUAUUGAACCGCAUGGUUCAAUAGUGAAAGACGGUUUUGCUGUCACUUAUAGAUGGAUCCGCGCCGCAUUAGCUAGUUGGUAAGGUAACGGCUUACCAAGGCAACGAUGCGUAGCCGACCUGAGAGGGUGAUCGGCCACACUGGAACUGAGACACGGUCCAGACUCCUACGGGAGGCAGCAGUAGGGAAUCUUCCACAAAGGGCGAAAGCUUGACGGAGCAACGCCGCGUGAGUGAUGAAGGUCUUCGGAUCGUAAAACUCUGUUAUUAGGGAAGAACAAAUGUGUAAGUAACUAUGCACGUCUUGACGGUACCUAAUCAGAAAGCCACGGCUAACUACGUG
RNAcentral lists this ribosomal RNA (497 nucleotides) under uncultured bacterium. Its description in RNAcentral is "partial 16S ribosomal RNA". It matches the Rfam family "Bacterial small subunit ribosomal RNA", at positions 28 to 507 of the family's 1533-position model. The record is from RNAcentral.